ACGGAAGGCAGCAGUAGGGAAUAUUGCACAAUGGGGGAAACCCUGAUGCAGCAACGCCACGUGUGGGAAGAAGCAUUUCGGUGUGUAAACCACUGUCGUGAGGGAAUAACGCUUGAUUUCGGUCAAGUUGAAUGUACCUCGAAAGGAAGCUCCGGCUAAAUACGUGCCAGCAGCCGCGGUAAUACGUAUGGAGCAAGCGUUAUCCGGAUUUACUGGGUGUAAAGGGAGCGUAGACGGCAAAGCAAGUCUGAAGUGAAAUCCCGGGGCUCAACCCCGGAACUGCUUUGGAAACUGUUUAGCUAGAGUGCAGGAGAGGUAAGCGGAAUUCCUAGUGUAGCGGUGAAAUGCGUAGAUAUUAGGAGGAACACCAGUGGCGAAGGCGGCUUACUGGACUGUAACUGACGUUGAGGCUCGAAAGCGUGGGGAGCAAACAGGAUUAGAUACCCUGGUA
RNAcentral lists this ribosomal RNA (451 nucleotides) under uncultured Clostridium sp. Its description in RNAcentral is "partial 16S ribosomal RNA". It matches the Rfam family "Bacterial small subunit ribosomal RNA", at positions 341 to 792 of the family's 1533-position model. The record is from RNAcentral. Lineage: Bacteria; Bacillati; Bacillota; Clostridia; Eubacteriales; Clostridiaceae.